UACGUAGGGUGCGAGCGUUGUCCGGAAUUAUUGGGCGUAAAGAGCUUGUAGGUGGCUCGUUGCGUCGGGAGUGAAAACCUGCGGCUUAACCGCAGGCCUGCUUCCGAUACGGGCGAGCUAGAGUUCGGCAGGGGAGACUGGAAUUCCUGGUGUAGCGGUGGAAUGCGCAGAUAUCAGGAGGAACACCGGUGGCGAAGGCGGGUCUCUGGGCAGUAACUGACGCUGAGGAGCGAAAGCGUGGGGAGCGAACAGG
RNAcentral lists this ribosomal RNA (253 nucleotides) under uncultured bacterium. RNAcentral describes it as "partial 16S ribosomal RNA". It matches the Rfam family "Bacterial small subunit ribosomal RNA", at positions 524 to 776 of the family's 1533-position model. The record is from RNAcentral.